Molecule: long non-coding RNA, 905 nt
Organism: Ipomoea nil (Japanese morning glory)
Lineage: Eukaryota; Viridiplantae; Streptophyta; Magnoliopsida; Solanales; Convolvulaceae
Exons: 4
Source: RefSeq, a predicted model, not a curated record
UGCUUAUCCAUCUUGACUGGGUAUCCAUAAAGAAGUUUGGUGUCUUAAUUGAAUUGAUUGUGAGGUUUAAUUGUACGUUGAACAUGAUUAGAAUGGUAUUCACAUAAGUUGAAAGCCACAACAUGAUGCGUCAUAUAUAAUUAUAUUUCUCAUUGUCUCUUUCAUACUUAACACGUACUACUUCUUCCCCCAUUUCAUACUUAAAACACUGAUUUGACUAUAAAUCAAUUAUUUUUAAAACUCUAGUCAUUUCAUCUUCUUUCUCAUUUUAUAGGUCAUCAUAAAUCACAAUCAAUAUACAUACAUUGCAUUUAUCAUAUCCUAGCUGUAUUCCCAAACUAGAAAUUCUAUCAUAUCCGGCCACCAAAAAAGAAGUUUAUCUGUCAUGAAUUCAAUUCUUGCUAAGUGAUCGCGAGUUAGCGAUUAAGGCAACAUUGAAUGUGGCAUUUCGAUCGGUUGAAACUUUAGGAGGGAGAAGACCUAAAAACAACGUUGAUUGGGUUCACAUUGAGUGUCCUCAACAACCGGGUGGUGUGGAGUGCGGGUAUUAUGUGAUGAGAUUCAUGUAUGAAAUAUGCACUCAAUGUUGGGAUUCGGAUGAUUUAGAUAUGGAAUUAUUCUUUAAUAGAAAGCCUUAUUCAGAAGCACAAAUUGAUGAGGUUCGUGAGAUUUGGUCUAAAUAUUUUACCGAAGAAUGCAUAUAAAUUUUUGAACUAUGAAUUGUUGGUACUUAUUAUCUAGUUUAGCUUAUUACAUAAGUGUUGAAGUAGUGUAGUUUUUUUUUUUGAAAGUCAAGUAGUGUAGUUUAAAUGUGUUGAAAACUUUGAAGUGUUGGCAAUUAUGUGUAUUGAAAACUUUGAAGUGUUGUGAAUUGAAUGUGAAAACUUUGAAGUGUUUGGCAAUUA